UAUGUACUCCAUCCGUUCCAAAUUACUCGUCGCAUAAAUUGAUGUAUCUAGAACUAAAAUACAUCUAGAUACAUCCAUACCUGCGACAAGUAAUUCGGAACGGAGGGAGUAACAC
This is a non-coding RNA of Triticum urartu, 115 nucleotides long. NCBI's taxonomy places the organism in Eukaryota, Viridiplantae, Streptophyta, Magnoliopsida, Poales, Poaceae. The record is from Rfam.